This 204-nucleotide ribosomal RNA is filed under the name uncultured bacterium. RNAcentral's name for it is "partial 16S ribosomal RNA". It matches the Rfam family "Bacterial small subunit ribosomal RNA", at positions 1301 to 1500 of the family's 1533-position model. The record is from RNAcentral.
CAGUCUGCAACUCGACUGCACGAAGCUGGAAUCGCUAGUAAUCGCGGAUCAGCACGCCGCGGUGAAUACGUUCCCGGGCCUUGUACACACCGCCCGUCACACCAUGGAAGUCUGCAAUGCCCGAAGCCGGUGGCCUAACCACUUAUGUGGAAGGAGCCGUCUAAGGCAGGGCAGAUGACUGGGGUGAAGUCGUAACAAGGUAGC